UAUUAGGAAAAUUAUUUCUAAAUUUGGAAAGUAAUUUGAAAAGAAAAUGUUUUUAUUUGUUUUAUUUUAUUCAACGUUUGAGGAGCUACAGCGUACGUACAACAGACAUCUGUUAGAGAGAAAAAAGAGGAGGAUGUCAAGAACAAAGUUUAUCCGUUUUUACCGGCGGAGGUUUGAGACAGACAUCAAGUAUUGGAGUCUCAAUCCCCAUGUCCCUGUUCUUGAGAAGUUUUUUGAUGGAGGGGAUACAAAAGCAGACUUUCGUCUGACGAGAGAGAGCCUCAAUAAACUUUUGGAGCUACUUCAUCAGCAACGGAGACAUGGCUGGGGUACAAAACUCCAGACACUGGUGUUUUUGUAUUGGUUGGCUUGUGGUGCAUCUUACAGGGUUGUGUCGCAGGCUUUUGGGAUGCCACGGCCAACCAUUCACAGAAUUAUACAUCGAGUGGCUGAUGAAGUCAUAGCAAUUUUGCCAAAGGUUGUAGUCCUACCAAAGACAGAAGAACACCUGAUCCAGGUUGGUGCAGGCUUUGCUUCUCUCACCAAUCACCAGGCAUUUGGUAAAGCUGUUGGAGCAAUUGAUGGAUGCCAUGUGAGAAUAAAACCACCAGCUGGCCCUGAUGGACAGUGCUAUAAAAACAGAAAGCUGUUUGCCUCUAUCCUGCUUCAAGGUAUAUGCGACCAUCAAGGAGCAUUUUUAGACAUUUUUGUAGGGAACCCUCACGGGUGCUUAAGAACAGCCCCAUUUACAACCAGGCAAAGUAUCCACCUCAGGGCUUUUUCCUCCACGGCGAUGGUGGGUACCCCUGCACAGAGAAGCCAAUCGCAAUCAUGACACCGUUUAAGAAUCCAGCCUCACCAUCUAUUCAGCGCUUCAAUGCACAUUUUUUCAAAGGCCGCUCAAUUAUUGAGCGUGCUUUUGGAAUGAUGAAGACGCGAUUUAGAGCCAUCUUCCUUCAGGCACUUGAAGUGCAUCCAACAUUUGCCCCAAAGGUAAUAGCAUCAUGCACCAUGCUGCACAACAUCUGCCUUGGUGUUGGCGACAUUAUACUGUACAACCAGACGACAGCCAAGAAGAAGAGGAAGAUGAUGUGGAGGCAUGCAAUCAAGUAGAGGCAGUAUCUGGAGCAGCAUGGCGUUUGAGAUUGUGCAACCAAGUGUCUGCCUUACAGGAUGUCAACCAGGACCACGACUACAUAAUUCAUCCUAAUUAAAAAUGCUUACCAAGAAGUCAGCAUGAGAGCUCACACAACACGACAUCUUUUUCACAAUAUAUCUUUUAUUUUUGUUAAUGUGUAACCAAAUACAUUUAUUCAUUAGAGAUUUUUUAAGCCAUUUAGAAUUGAUUACUUUAAAGAUUUAGUGAAAUGUUGUCUACAGAGUUACCUUUUUAAUAAUUGUAAGUAACAAUAGUAAGUAAAUAUUGUAAAUAGUUUUAUUACAUUUUAUCAAUUAACUUUUCGAGUAAAUUAAAGAGCCUAUCACUCCUC
Molecule: RNA transcript, 1490 nt
Organism: Carassius carassius (crucian carp)
Lineage: Eukaryota; Metazoa; Chordata; Actinopteri; Cypriniformes; Cyprinidae
Exons: 4
Source: RefSeq, a predicted model, not a curated record